This 347-nucleotide ribosomal RNA is filed under the name uncultured bacterium. Its description in RNAcentral is "partial 16S ribosomal RNA". It matches the Rfam family "Bacterial small subunit ribosomal RNA", at positions 338 to 701 of the family's 1533-position model. The record is from RNAcentral.
CCUACGGGAGGCAGCAGUGGGGAAUAUUGCACAAUGGGGGAAACCCUGAUGCAGCGACGCCGCGUGAGUGAAGAAGUAUUUCGGUAUGUAAAGCUCUAGCAGCAGGGAAGAAGAAAGAAGGUACCUGACUAAGAAGCCCCGGCUAACUACGUGCCAGCAGCCGCGGUAAUACGGAGGGGGCAAGCGUUAUCCGGAUUUACGGGGUGUAAAUGGAGCGUAGACGGCUGUGCAAGUCUGAAGUGAAAGCCCAGGGCUCAACCCUGGGACUGCUUUGGAAACUGGGGAGCUAGAGUGCUGGUGAGGUCAGUGGACUUCCUCUUGUAGCGGUGACAUGCGUAGAUAUUCGG